CUACGGGAGGCUGCAGUUAGGAAUAAUCUGCAAUGCGCGAAAGCGUGACAGUUUGAGCCAGAGUGCUUUUCUUUUGAAAAGCUUUUGUGAAAUGUAAAAAGUUUUACGAAUAAGGACUGGGUAAGGACGAGUGCCAGCCGCCGCGGUAAUACUCGCGGUCCAAGUCGCAGCCAUUUUUAUUGGGUCUAAAACAUCCGUAGCUUGCUUGGUGAGUUUCCUGUGAAAUCCGGCUUCUUAAGAGUUGGGCGGGCAGGAAGUACUGCCAAGCUAGAGACUGGAAGACGUAACGAGUACGUUCAGAGUAUCGGUAAAAUGAGUUAAUCCUGGACGGACUAACAACAGCGAAGGCACGUUACGAGGACAGUUCUGACAGUAAGGGAUGAAGGCUAGGGGCGCAAAACGGAUUAGAUACCCCUGUAGUC
RNAcentral lists this ribosomal RNA (422 nucleotides) under uncultured archaeon. RNAcentral describes it as "partial 16S ribosomal RNA". It matches the Rfam family "Archaeal small subunit ribosomal RNA", at positions 323 to 746 of the family's 1478-position model. The record is from RNAcentral.